UGGGGAAUAUUGCACAAUGGGCGCAAGCCUGAUGCAGCAACGCCGCGUGAACGAUGAAGGUCUUCGGAUCGUAAAGUUCUGUUGCAGGGGAAGAUAAUGACGGUACCCUGUGAGGAAGCCCCGGCUAACUACGUGCCAGCAGCCGCGGUAAUACGUAGGGGGCUAGCGUUGUCCGGAAUCACUGGGCGUAAAGGGUUCGCAGGCGGAAAUGCAAGUCAGGUGUCAAAGCGUGGAGCUUAACUCCAUUAAGCACUUGAAACUGAAAGACUUGAGUGAAGGAGAGGAAAGUGGAAUUCCUAGUGUAGCGGUGAAAUGCGUAGAUAUUAGGAGGAAUACCGGUGGCGAAGGCGACUUUCUGGACUUUUACUGACGCUCAGGUACGAAAGCGUGGGGAGCAAACAGG
RNAcentral lists this ribosomal RNA (403 nucleotides) under Verrucomicrobiota bacterium. Its description in RNAcentral is "Verrucomicrobia bacterium partial 16S ribosomal RNA". It matches the Rfam family "Bacterial small subunit ribosomal RNA", at positions 355 to 776 of the family's 1533-position model. Lineage: Bacteria; Pseudomonadati; Verrucomicrobiota. The record is from RNAcentral.